AUUGAACGCUGGCGGCGUGGCUAAAGCAUGCAAGUCGAGCGAACCCGCAAGGGUGAGCGGCGGACGGGUUAGUAAUACGAUCGAACGUGCCCCGAGGCGGGGGAUAGGCAUGGGAAACUGUGCGUAAUACCCCAUAAUCUCUCCGGAGCAAAGGUUUACCACCUUGGGAUCGGCGAUCGUCCUAUCAGCUAGUUGGCGGGGUAAAGGCCCACCAAGGCUAUGACGGGUAGCAGGUGUGAGAGCACGACCUGCAACAUCGGGACUGAGACACUGCCCGGACUCCUACGGGAGGCUGCAGCGACGAAUCUUCCGCAAUGGGCGCAAGCCUGACGGAGCGACGCCGCGUGUGGGAUGAAGCGCCUUCGGCGUGUAAACCACUGUCAGGGAACAGAACCAAUGAUCGUUCCCAAAGGAAGAGACGGCUAACCCUGUGC
RNAcentral lists this ribosomal RNA (434 nucleotides) under uncultured bacterium. RNAcentral's name for it is "bacterial SSU rRNA". It matches the Rfam family "Bacterial small subunit ribosomal RNA", at positions 29 to 508 of the family's 1533-position model. The record is from RNAcentral.